RNAcentral lists this ribosomal RNA (1556 nucleotides) under Salmonella enterica subsp. enterica serovar Wandsworth str. SA20092095. RNAcentral describes it as "bacterial SSU rRNA". It matches the Rfam family "Bacterial small subunit ribosomal RNA". The record is from RNAcentral. Lineage: Bacteria; Pseudomonadati; Pseudomonadota; Gammaproteobacteria; Enterobacterales; Enterobacteriaceae.
UUAAAUUGAAGAGUUUGAUCAUGGCUCAGAUUGAACGCUGGCGGCAGGCCUAACACAUGCAAGUCGAACGGUAACAGGAAGCAGCUUGCUGCUUCGCUGACGAGUGGCGGACGGGUGAGUAAUGUCUGGGAAACUGCCUGAUGGAGGGGGAUAACUACUGGAAACGGUGGCUAAUACCGCAUAACGUCGCAAGACCAAAGAGGGGGACCUUCGGGCCUCUUGCCAUCAGAUGUGCCCAGAUGGGAUUAGCUUGUUGGUGAGGUAAUGGCUCACCAAGGCGACGAUCCCUAGCUGGUCUGAGAGGAUGACCAGCCACACUGGAACUGAGACACGGUCCAGACUCCUACGGGAGGCAGCAGUGGGGAAUAUUGCACAAUGGGCGCAAGCCUGAUGCAGCCAUGCCGCGUGUAUGAAGAAGGCCUUCGGGUUGUAAAGUACUUUCAGCGGGGAGGAAGGUGUUGUGGUUAAUAACCGCAGCAAUUGACGUUACCCGCAGAAGAAGCACCGGCUAACUCCGUGCCAGCAGCCGCGGUAAUACGGAGGGUGCAAGCGUUAAUCGGAAUUACUGGGCGUAAAGCGCACGCAGGCGGUCUGUCAAGUCGGAUGUGAAAUCCCCGGGCUUAACCUGGGAACUGCAUUCGAAACUGGCAGGCUUGAGUCUUGUAGAGGGGGGUAGAAUUCCAGGUGUAGCGGUGAAAUGCGUAGAGAUCUGGAGGAAUACCGGUGGCGAAGGCGGCCCCCUGGACAAAGACUGACGCUCAGGUGCGAAAGCGUGGGGAGCAAACAGGAUUAGAUACCCUGGUAGUCCACGCCGUAAACGAUGUCUACUUGGAGGUUGUGCCCUUGAGGCGUGGCUUCCGGAGCUAACGCGUUAAGUAGACCGCCUGGGGAGUACGGCCGCAAGGUUAAAACUCAAAUGAAUUGACGGGGGCCCGCACAAGCGGUGGAGCAUGUGGUUUAAUUCGAUGCAACGCGAAGAACCUUACCUGGUCUUGACAUCCACAGAACUUUCCAGAGAUGGAUUGGUGCCUUCGGGAACUGUGAGACAGGUGCUGCAUGGCUGUCGUCAGCUCGUGUUGUGAAAUGUUGGGUUAAGUCCCGCAACGAGCGCAACCCUUAUCCUUUGUUGCCAGCGGUCCGGCCGGGAACUCAAAGGAGACUGCCAGUGAUAAACUGGAGGAAGGUGGGGAUGACGUCAAGUCAUCAUGGCCCUUACGACCAGGGCUACACACGUGCUACAAUGGCGCAUACAAAGAGAAGCGACCUCGCGAGAGCAAGCGGACCUCAUAAAGUGCGUCGUAGUCCGGAUUGGAGUCUGCAACUCGACUCCAUGAAGUCGGAAUCGCUAGUAAUCGUGGAUCAGAAUGCCACGGUGAAUACGUUCCCGGGCCUUGUACACACCGCCCGUCACACCAUGGGAGUGGGUUGCAAAAGAAGUAGGUAGCUUAACCUUCGGGAGGGCGCUUACCACUUUGUGAUUCAUGACUGGGGUGAAGUCGUAACAAGGUAACCGUAGGGGAACCUGCGGUUGGAUCACCUCCUUACCUUAAAGAAGC